UACGAAGGGGGCUAGCGUUGCUCGGAAUUACUGGGCGUAAAGAGCGUGUAGGCGGCCAAGCAGGUCCGCUGUGAAAACUCGAGGCUCAACCUCGAGACGUCGGUGGAAACCGUUUGGCUAGAGUCCGGAAGAGGAGAGUGGAAUUCCCGGUGUAGCGGUGAAAUGCGCAGAUAUCGGGAAGAACACCCGUGGCGAAGGCGACAUACUGGCUCAUUACUGACGCUGAGGCUCGAAAGCGUGGGGAGCAAACAGG
This 253-nucleotide ribosomal RNA is filed under the name uncultured bacterium. RNAcentral's name for it is "partial 16S ribosomal RNA". It matches the Rfam family "Bacterial small subunit ribosomal RNA", at positions 524 to 776 of the family's 1533-position model. The record is from RNAcentral.